UACAGAGGGGGCAAGCGUUGUUCGGAAUUACUGGGCGUAAAGGGCGCGUAGGCGGCCAUCUAAGUCGGGUGUGAAAGCCCCGGGCUCAACCUGGGAAUUGCAUUCGAGACUGAAUGGCUAGGGUGCGGAAGAGGGAAGCGGAAUUUCCGGUGUAGCAGUGAGAUGCGUAGAUAUCGGAAGGAACACCAGUGGCGAAAGCGGCUUCCUGGUCCAGCACCGACGUUCAGGCACGAAAGCGUGGGGAGCAAACAGG
RNAcentral lists this ribosomal RNA (253 nucleotides) under uncultured bacterium. Its description in RNAcentral is "partial 16S ribosomal RNA". It matches the Rfam family "Bacterial small subunit ribosomal RNA", at positions 524 to 776 of the family's 1533-position model. The record is from RNAcentral.